This 440-nucleotide ribosomal RNA is filed under the name uncultured bacterium. Its description in RNAcentral is "bacterial SSU rRNA". It matches the Rfam family "Bacterial small subunit ribosomal RNA", at positions 8 to 445 of the family's 1533-position model. The record is from RNAcentral.
AGAGUUUGAUCCUGGCUCAGAUUGAACGCUGGCGGCAUGCCCUUACACAUGCAAGUCGAACGGCAGCACGGGGGCAACCCUGGUGGCGAGUGGCGAACGGGUGAGUAAUACAUCGGAACGUGUCCUGUAGUGGGGGAUAGCCCGGCGAAAGCCGGAUUAAUCCCGCAUACGAUCUACGGAAGAAAGCGGGGGACCGAAAGGCCUCGCGCUAUAGGGGCGGCCGAUGGCAGAUUAGCUAGUUGGUGGGGUAAAGGCCUACCAAGGCGACGAUCUGUAGCUGGUCUGAGAGGACGACCAGCCACACUGGGACUGAGACACGGCCCAGACUCCCUACGGGAGGCAGCAGUGGGGAAUUUUGGACCAUGGGGGAAACCCUGAUCCAGCAAUGCCCGCGUGUGUGAAGAAGGCCCUUCGGGUUGUAAAAGCACUUUUGUCCGGAA